RNAcentral lists this ribosomal RNA (528 nucleotides) under uncultured bacterium. Its description in RNAcentral is "bacterial SSU rRNA". It matches the Rfam family "Bacterial small subunit ribosomal RNA", at positions 355 to 871 of the family's 1533-position model. The record is from RNAcentral.
UGGGGAAUCUUGGGCAAUGGGGGAAACCCUGACCCAGCGACGCCGCGUGGGGGAUGAAGGCCUUCGGGUCGUAAACCCCUGUUAGGUGGGACGAACGUCCCCUCGCGAAUAGCUAAGGGGACUUGACGGUACCACCAGAGAAAGCUCCGGCUAACUCCGUGCCAGCAGCCGCGGUAAUACGGAGGGGGCAAGCGUUGUUCGGAAUUACUGGGCGUAAAGGGCGCGCAGGCGGCUUGGCAAGUCGAGUGUGAAAUCCCUUGGCUUAACUGAGGAAUGGCGCUCGAAACUACCUCGCUGGAGGACGGGAGAGGGAAGUGGAACUCUCGGUGUAGGGGGUGAAAUCUGUAGAUAUCGAGAGGAACACCGGUGGCGAAGGCGGCUUCCUGGCCCGUACCUGACGCUGAGGCGCGAAAGCGUGGGGGAGCAAACAGGAUUAGAUACCCUGGUAGUCCACGCCCUAAACGAUGGGCACUAGGUGUGGGCGGUAUUAAUCCCGCCUGUGCCGUAGCUAACGCAUUAAGUGCCCCG